RNAcentral lists this ribosomal RNA (460 nucleotides) under uncultured bacterium. RNAcentral's name for it is "partial 16S ribosomal RNA". It matches the Rfam family "Bacterial small subunit ribosomal RNA", at positions 338 to 795 of the family's 1533-position model. The record is from RNAcentral.
CCUACGGGUGGCAGCAGUGAGGAAUAUUGGUCAAUGGGCGCGAGCCUGAACCAGCCAAGUAGCGUGAAGGAUGACUGCCCUACGGGUUGUAAACUUCUUUUAUAAAGGAAUAAAGUGAGGCACGUGUGCCGUUUUGAUUGUACUUUAUGAAUAAGGAACGGCUAACUCCGUUCCAGCAGACGCGGUAAUACGGAGGGUCCGAGCGUUGUCUGGUUUUAUUGGGUUUAAAUGGAGCGUAGAUGGGUUGUUAAGUUAGUUGUGAAAGUUUGCGGCUCAACCGUAAAAUUGCAAUUGAUACUGGCAGUCUUGAGUACAGUUGAGGUAGGCGGAAUUCGAGGUGUAGCGGUGAAAUGCUUAGAUAUCACGAAGAACUCCGAUUGCGAAGGCAGCUUACUAAACUGCCACUGACAUUGAUGCUCGAAAGUGUGGGUAUCAAACAGGAUUAGAUACCCGAGUAGUC